RNAcentral lists this ribosomal RNA (442 nucleotides) under uncultured bacterium. Its description in RNAcentral is "bacterial SSU rRNA". It matches the Rfam family "Bacterial small subunit ribosomal RNA", at positions 958 to 1399 of the family's 1533-position model. The record is from RNAcentral.
AACGCGAAGAACCUUACCUACACUUGACAUCCUCGGAACCCUGCAGAGAUGCAGGGGUGCCUUCGGGAGCCGAGAGACAGGUGCUGCAUGGCUGUCGUCAGCUCGUGUCGUGAGAUGUUGGGUUAAGUCCCGUAACGAGCGCAACCCUUGUCCUUAGUUGCCAGCGGGUAAUGCCGGGAACUUUAAGGAGACUGCCGGUGAUAAACCGGAGGAAGGUGGGGAUGACGUCAAGUCCUCAUGGCCUUUAUGUGUAGGGCUACACACGUGCUACAAUGGGAAGUACAGAGGGUUGCCAACCCGCGAGGGGGAGCUAAUCUCAAAAAACUUUUCGUAGUCCGGAUUGGAGUCUGCAACUCGACUCCAUGAAGUUGGAAUCGCUAGUAAUCGCGAAUCAGAACGUCGCGGUGAAUACGUUCCCGGGCCUUGUACACACCGACUGUAC